Calliphora vicina (urban bluebottle blowfly) is the source of this 326-nucleotide long non-coding RNA. RefSeq lists it as uncharacterized. The record is from RefSeq and is a predicted model, not a curated record. Lineage: Eukaryota; Metazoa; Arthropoda; Insecta; Diptera; Calliphoridae. The transcript has 3 exons.
UUUAAAAUAAAAUUUGUAAAUAAAGUUAUACAUUUGAAAUAUGUUAAGAAUAGCUUUUUAUAUUUUCCUCUCGACAUUUUUGUUACUGGGAAAUGCUAAAAAAUUAUAUGGUGAUCGAAUAUCGGAUGCCAAGAAAGUUUUAGAUGCUGCUUUGGACCUAUUAAACCUAGAAGGCGGACCCCUGUACUCAAUACAUGAAGUGGAUGCUGUUUACAAAUUUAUACCCCAAGUUAUUUACACUUAUGACAUUAAUGUCCAGGAUUAUAUGAGUGAUAACAAAAAUUGUAUAAUAACAAUAUCAUAUACUUACGAUGAUGUAAAUGCAC